GUUAAGCGACUAAGCGUACACGGUGGAUGCCCUGGCAGUCAGAGGCGAUGAAGGGCGUGCUAAUCUGCGAUAAGCGCCGGUAAGGUGAUAUGAACCGUUAUAACCGGCGAUACCCGAAUGGGGAAACCCAGUGUGAUUCGUCACACUAUCAUUAACUGAAUCCAUAGGUUAAUGAGGCGAACCGGGGGAACUGAAACAUCUAAGUACCCCGAGGAAAAGAAAUCAACCGAGAUUCCCCCAGUAGCGGCGAGCGAACGGGGAGGAGCCCAGAGCCUGAAUCAGCAUGUGUGUUAGUGGAAGCGUCUGGAAAGGCGCGCGAUACAGGGUGACAGCCCCGUACACAAAAGCGCAUGUGCUGUGAGCUCGAUGAGUAGGGCGGGACACGUGGUAUCCUGUCUGAAUAUGGGGGGACCAUCCUCCAAGGCUAAAUACUCCUGACUGACCGAUAGUGAACCAGUACCGUGAGGGAAAGGCGAAAAGAACCCCGGCGAGGGGAGUGAAAAAGAACCUGAAACCGUGUACGUACAAGCAGUGGGAGCACCCUUCGGGG
RNAcentral lists this ribosomal RNA (550 nucleotides) under Salmonella enterica subsp. enterica. RNAcentral describes it as "partial 23S ribosomal RNA". It matches the Rfam family "Bacterial large subunit ribosomal RNA", at positions 1 to 591 of the family's 2925-position model. The record is from RNAcentral. Lineage: Bacteria; Pseudomonadati; Pseudomonadota; Gammaproteobacteria; Enterobacterales; Enterobacteriaceae. RNAcentral also lists the same sequence under 1 other name.